This 440-nucleotide ribosomal RNA is filed under the name uncultured bacterium. Its description in RNAcentral is "partial 16S ribosomal RNA". It matches the Rfam family "Bacterial small subunit ribosomal RNA", at positions 338 to 795 of the family's 1533-position model. The record is from RNAcentral.
ACUACGGGUGGCAGCAGUGGGGAAUAUUGCACAAUGGGGGAAACCCUGAUGCAGCGACGCCGCGUGAGUGAAGAAGUAUCUCGGUACGUAAAGCUCUAUCAGCAGGGAAGAAAAUGACGGUACCUGACUAAGAAUCCACGGCUAACAACGUGCCAGCAGCCGCGAUAAUAGGUGGGGGGCAAGCGUUAUCCGGAUUUACUGGGUGUAAAGGGAGCGUAGACGGCAGCACAAGUCUGGAGUGAAAUCCCGGGGCUGAACCCCGGAACUGCUUUGGAAACUGUGAGGCUGGAGUGCAGGAGGGGUAAGCGGAAUUCCUGGGGUAGCGGUGAAAUGCGUAGAUAUUAGGAGGAACACCGGUGGCGAAGGCGGCUUACUGGACUGUAACUGACGUUGAGGCUCGAAAGCGUGGGUAGCAAACAGGAUUAGAUACCCCUGUAGUC